UCCCAGGUGGCUCAGCGGUGAAGAAUCUGCCUGCAAUGCAGAAGACUCGGGUUUGAUCCUUGGUUUGGGAA
This 71-nucleotide transfer RNA is filed under the name Ovis aries (sheep). It matches the Rfam family "tRNA". Rfam says of the family: Transfer RNA (tRNA) molecules are approximately 80 nucleotides in length. Their secondary structure includes four short double-helical elements and three loops (D, anti-codon, and T loops). The record is from Rfam by way of RNAcentral. Lineage: Eukaryota; Metazoa; Chordata; Mammalia; Artiodactyla; Bovidae.